UGGGGAAUAUUGCACAAUGGGCGCAAGCCUGAUGCAGCCAUGCCGCGUGUGUGAAGAAGGCCUUCGGGUUGUAAAGCACUUUCAGCGAGGAGGAAGGUGGUGAGCUUAAUACGCUCAUCAAUUGACGUUACUCGCAGAAGAAGCACCGGCUAACUCCGUGCCAGCAGCCGCGGUAAUACGGAGGGUGCAAGCGUUAAUCGGAAUUACUGGGCGUAAAGCGCACGCAGGCGGUUUGUUAAGUCAGAUGUGAAAUCCCCGGGCUCAACCUGGGAACUGCAUUUGAAACUGGCAAGCUAGAGUCUCGUAGAGGGGGGUAGAAUUCCAGGUGUAGCGGUGAAAUGCGUAGAGAUCUGGAGGAAUACCGGUGGCGAAGGCGGCCCCCUGGACGAAGACUGACGCUCAGGUGCGAAAAGCGUGGGGAGCAAAACAGGAUUAGAUACCCUGGUAGUCCACGCUGUAAAACGAUGUCGAUUUUGGAGGUUGUGCCCCUUGAGGCGUGGNUUCCGGAGCUAACGCGUUAAAUCGACCGCC
Molecule: ribosomal RNA, 531 nt
Filed under: uncultured bacterium
Lineage: Bacteria
Description: partial 16S ribosomal RNA
Rfam family: Bacterial small subunit ribosomal RNA
Source: RNAcentral